RNAcentral lists this small nucleolar RNA (91 nucleotides) under Nannospalax galili (Upper Galilee mountains blind mole rat). Its description in RNAcentral is "Small nucleolar RNA SNORA42/SNORA80 family (ENSNGAG00000005055.1)". Lineage: Eukaryota; Metazoa; Chordata; Mammalia; Rodentia; Spalacidae. The record is from RNAcentral.
GAGUGUCCCAUUCAAGAGCAACCUGUGGCUCCAAACUGUUGAGCGGCCUCUGUGCCUGCAGGCCGCUGGCACUAAGGUGGGUCACACAAUC